AUUGAUAUUCAAAAAGAAAAAAACCAUCUUGAAACUUAUCUAAUGAAGAAUCCAGAAUAAUUUUGAAACUAAAACUGAGAACGGAUAACAUGCAUGGUCUGCAUUAGAUUUCUGAUGAAAAUAGACCAUACCUGAAAUUAGGAAGAAUACCAAUGAAAUGAAGGAAAGAAGAAAGUCCGAUGAUCGGGAAUCAAUAGGUAAGAAUCCAGAGAAAGAUUGAGAAAGAACUUACUAGAAAC
RNAcentral lists this long non-coding RNA (239 nucleotides) under Zostera marina. RNAcentral's name for it is "long non-coding RNA (ZMAR_LNC002120)". Lineage: Eukaryota; Viridiplantae; Streptophyta; Magnoliopsida; Alismatales; Zosteraceae. The record is from RNAcentral.